GACGAACGCUGGCGGCGUGCUUAACACAUGCAAGUCGAACGGUGAAGGGAUCAGCUUGCUGGUUCUGGAUGAGUGGCGAACGGGUGAGUAACACGUGAGUAACCUGCCCCCUUCUUCUGGAUAACCGCAUGAAAGUGUGGCUAAUACGGGAUAUUCUGGGUCUGUCGCAUGAUGGGUCUGGGAAAGAUAUUGUUUCGGUGGGGGAUGGGCUCGCGGCCUAUCAGCUUGUUGGUGGGGUGAUGGCCUACCAAGGCGGUGACGGGUAGCCGGCCUGAGAGGGGGGGGGGGAGGGCAAACGGGGGAAAGAGACCCGGACAAGUCCGGGAGGGGGGGGGGGGGUGGGGAUGAUGACAGGGGGGGGGCGGGCGGUAGGACGCGGGGCGGGGGGAGGGGGGGUGGCGUUGGGUUUGUAACCUUUUUGGGCAAGGAAAGGAGGCCUGGUUUUUGUGGGUGGGUGGAGGGUAGGUAAAAAAAAAGCCCCGGCUAACUAGGGG
Molecule: ribosomal RNA, 494 nt
Filed under: uncultured bacterium
Lineage: Bacteria
Description: partial 16S ribosomal RNA
Rfam family: Bacterial small subunit ribosomal RNA (bases 20-338)
Source: RNAcentral